This 305-nucleotide ribosomal RNA is filed under the name uncultured bacterium. Its description in RNAcentral is "bacterial SSU rRNA". It matches the Rfam family "Bacterial small subunit ribosomal RNA", at positions 333 to 655 of the family's 1533-position model. The record is from RNAcentral.
CUUGUCCUACGGGGCGCAGCAGUGAGGGAUAUUGGUCAAUGGGGGAAACCCUGAACCAGCAACGCCGCGUGAGGGAAGACGGUUUUCGGAUUGUAAACCUCUGCCCUCUGUGAAGAUAAUGACGGUAGCAGAGGAGGAAGCUCCGGCUAACUACGUGCCAGCAGCCGCGGUAAUACGUAGGGAGCGAGCGUUGUCCGGACUUACUGGGUGUAGAGGGUGCGUAGGCGGCCCUGCAAGUCAGAAGUGAAAUCCAUGGGCUCAACCCGUGAACUGCUUUUGAAACUGCAGGACUUGAGUGGAGUAGA